GAUGAAGAACGUAGCGAAAUGCGAUACGUAAUGUGAAUUGCAGAUUUCAGUGAAUCAUCGAAUCUUUGAACGCACAUUGCGCCCGCUAGUAUUCUGGCGGGCAUGCCUGUUCGAGUGUCAUUUCAACCAUCAAGCCCUAGGCUUGCGUUGGAGCCCUGCGGCUGCCGCAGGCUCCCAAAUCCAGUGGCGGGCUCGUCGUCGUACCGAGUGCAGUAAACAUCCUCGCUCAGGGAACGUGACGGGUUCUUGCCGUGAAACCCCCCACAUAUCAAGGUUGACCUCGGAUCAGGUAGGAAUACCCGCUGAACUUAAGCAUAUCAAUAAGCGGAGGA
This 332-nucleotide unclassified non-coding RNA is filed under the name soil metagenome. RNAcentral describes it as "partial contains 5.8S ribosomal RNA, internal transcribed spacer 2, and large subunit ribosomal RNA". The stretch from base 1 to 120 matches the Rfam family "5.8S ribosomal RNA", at positions 35 to 154 of the family's 154-position model. The record is from RNAcentral.